Molecule: non-coding RNA, 901 nt
Organism: Phoenix dactylifera (date palm)
Lineage: Eukaryota; Viridiplantae; Streptophyta; Magnoliopsida; Arecales; Arecaceae
Source: RefSeq, a predicted model, not a curated record
CUACAACUCUUAUUUCAGAGCGUGUCGGGGAGUCAUCAUCAUCCGAUGCGGCCAGUCGCGUCGAGGCUCAGGUCUAUACCGAAUUAAUGGGCCCAGAAUGUUAUGGUCGAGUGAGGGGUUAUGGUGUUGGAGUUACCCCCACUCAGUUGUCUGCAGUGAGCCGAUAUACCCAAGAUGCUAGAUAAGGUAGUAGCACUGCAGAGGUUUGUAGUCUGAAGGCAGAGAUGGCACAGAUAAAGCAGUCAUAUGAGACAAGGAUAGAGGAGAUGAGUCAGAGUCAUAGGACCGAUAUGGAGGAGUUGAAGCAGAGCCAAGAGUUGAAGAUACAAUCUUUGCAAGAUCAGCUUGACCAUAUUUCAUCCUUUUUGCAGAGAUUUGCUCCUCCGGUCACUUGACAGCUAGGAGUGAUGUCUACAGCUUCGGGGUUGUCCUUCUUGAGCUCUUAACAGGACGCCGGUCUGUGGACAAGAUAUUCUAUAUUUUCUGAUUGUAUCAAUCUUUUUUCUGAAUGGAACAGGCAUGGAGGCAGGGCUUAUGCUUUGUGAUUGCCAGCUUGUCCCAGGAUCACUACAGAUUGGCAUUUAUGGACGACUUUUCGCAAGAAUUCUUUCAAUAUCUUUUAGAAUGUUUAAUGACAAUACUCGCCCGAGCAAGGAGCAGAGCAGAGCUUAAGAAGACUCCGGUCUGUGGACAAGACUCGCUCGAGCAAGGAGCAGAGCUUGGUUGACUGGGCUCGCCCCAAGCUUAAUGACAAUAUUGUAGAGAUGAUGAUGCCGACCCUUAAUAUAUAUUGUAGAUUGUGUACGUAGGAAUUUGACUUGUAUGUUUUUAGAAUGUUUUUGAAGUACAAUGUAAUCAAAUAUGAUAAUAUGAAUGUAAUCAAAGUUCUUGUUUGUGACUC